GCCCUGACCGUUAUGGCUCAGUUGGUUGGGCGUUGUCCUACAAAGGGAAAGGUCGCUGGUUCGAUUCCCGGUCAGGGCA
Non-coding RNA from Pteronotus mesoamericanus, 79 nucleotides. The record is from the annotation of a RefSeq genome assembly. Lineage: Eukaryota; Metazoa; Chordata; Mammalia; Chiroptera; Mormoopidae.